Long non-coding RNA from Pecten maximus, 2179 nucleotides. RefSeq lists it as uncharacterized. Lineage: Eukaryota; Metazoa; Mollusca; Bivalvia; Pectinida; Pectinidae. The transcript is spliced from 2 exons. The record is from RefSeq and is a predicted model, not a curated record.
GUGUCCUUGGUGCGUAGAUGGGGUCACUGUCCGGUGUGUCCUUGGUUUGUAGAUGGGGUCAUUGUCUGAUGUGUCCCUGGUUUGUAGAUGGGGUCACUGUCCGGUGUGUCCUUGGUUUGUAGAUGGGGUCAUUGUCCGGUGUGUCCUUGGUUUGUAGAUGGGGUCAUUGUCUGAUGUGUCCUUGGUUUGUAGAUGGGUCAUUGUCUAUGUGUCCUUGGUUUGUAGAUGGGGUCAUUGUCCAGUGUGUCCUUGGUUUGUAGAUGGGUCAUUGUCUAUGUGUCCUUGGUUUGUAGAUGGGGUCAUUGUCCAAUGUGUCCUUGGUUUGUAGAUGGGGUCAUUGUCCAAUGUGUCCUUGGUUUGUAGAUGGGGUCAUUGUCCAAUGUGUCCUUGGUUUGUAGAUGGGGUCAUUGUCUGAUGUGUCCAUGGUUUGUAGAUGGGGUCAUUGUCUAAUGUGUCCUUGGUUUGUAGAUGGGGUCAUUGUCUAUGUGUCCUUGGUUUGUAGAUGGGGUCAUUGUCUGAUGUUUCCUUGGUUUGUAGAUGGGGUCAUUGUCCGGUGUGUCCAUGGUUUGUAGAUGGGGUCAUUGUCUGAUAUGUCCUUGGUUUGUAGAUGGGGUCAUUGUCUGAUGUGUCCAUGGUUUGUAGAUGGGGUCAUUGUCUGAUGUGUCCAUGGUUUGUAGAUGGGAUCAUUGUCCGGUGUGUCCUUGGUUUGUAGAUGGGGUCAUUGUCUGAUGUGUCCUUGGUUUGUAGAUGGGGUCAUUGUCUGAUGUGUCCUUGGUUUGUAGAUGGGGUCAUUGUCUGAUGUGUCCUUGGUUUGUAGAUGGGGUCAUUGUCCGGUGUGUCCUUGGUUUGUAGAUGGGGUCAUUAUCUGAUGUGUCCUUGGUUUGUAGAUGGGGUCAUUAUCUGAUGUGUCCUUGGUUUGUAGAUGGAGUUCGUUGUCUUGUUUGGUAGUUGGAGUUUGUCUUGGUUAGUUGUCCGAUGGGUUCAUGUUUUUGUUUCUAUGGAUAUACAUAUGUUGUUAACAUAUUAGGAUAUCAUUGUUACUUUUGUAAGAGGGAUGAUCCAUAGAAACAAUAUGAUAUUGCAGCUUUAAUACGUUUGAUUUAAAACGAUAUAAUGUGUUCUUAUUAUAAGUCAUAGAUGGAAGUAUUAUCAUAUGGUGUUGUCCAUCAAUCAUUCGGCGUAAAAGUUUGUUUGUCUGGAGAUCUACUCAGACAUUUAUGGACCAAUAUUUUUGAAACUUGGUAUGCAUUACAAUCAUGAUAUGUACAUAUAUUGCCCUUUAAUUAUAUUUUAGUAUUUGGGUUUUUUGUCCAUGGGGAUCGCCUAAAUUUUUCAACCAUUUUCUUUGAAACUUGGUAGGCUUUAUGCAACCAUGAUAUAUAGCCAUGUUUCCCCUAAAGGCAUUUUGAUUUGACCAUAAUUGCAAAAGCUAUUGCCCUUUGUUUAUUUUGAUAUUUUAAUUUUGUCCGGAGAUCUCCUUCAUUUUUCGGCUGAUUUGUUAGAAGCUAUAUAACCAUGAUAUAUAGUUGUGUUUCCCCUAAAGGCAUUUACAAUGUAACUAAUUUUACAAAAGCUAUUGCCCUUCGUUUAUUUUGGUAUUUGAGUUUUGUCCGGAGAUCUGCAUUUUUCAACUGAUUUCUUAGAAACUUGGUAGGCUGUACAGUAUAAUCAUGGAAUAUAUUUGUGUUUCCCCAUUUCAAUUGGACUAUAUUUUUUCCCCUACAUUUUUCAACAAUUUCUUUGAGUCUUGGUAGGCUUUAUAAUCAUGAUUUCAAAUUGUGUUUAAUGAUUUGUUGACUAAUUCCUGAUAACUGAUAUUCAUCUCACUGAUGGGAAAUUAAACAUUGACUUUGUAGUAAAAUGUGUGGGCUAAAGCAUGUAACAAAUCAUAAUGCGAUACAAAUCGUAUUCCAUUGCAAGAUAGUAUAUAACACUACAAAAUGUAUAAAGAAUUUGACGGGCGUAUUUUGUUCCGCCCCGCUGUACUGACUUGUUAUAUUGUUAAUUAUUGUUAUCAUUGACAUGUAAUAUGCUAAACAUUCCACAAUUACUUUUUUGUAAGCAGUCUGCAUCAACAAGAUAAUGUGUAUCAAUUGUAAUGUAAAUUGAAAACUGUUUGCUUUCAGUACAUAUAAUACCUAUAUAUAUAUUGAAAUAAAUAUUAUGUAUGCUGUAUAUA